RNAcentral lists this long non-coding RNA (606 nucleotides) under Setaria viridis. RNAcentral describes it as "long non-coding RNA (SVIR_LNC000276)". The record is from RNAcentral. Lineage: Eukaryota; Viridiplantae; Streptophyta; Magnoliopsida; Poales; Poaceae.
AUAGUACAACCACAAGAACUAUAUGACUCUGGUCUUGGCUAAUUAAUUAGAGACUCUAGUUUGAAGCGAUCUUACCAAAAUGGCAAGAGGGGCGGCAGCAGAUGGGGUAUAACCCGACCCUCAGACUGAUCUGCUCUAUGGAAGCUUCGCAGUCCUGAGAGAGGUUUAUGCUCUGCUAAUGAUCUGGAAACCUUAGCGGGCUGCUUCUUAUUAGAGAAUCUUUAUAAAGGCCUUGUAGUGUCCCUAUGCAGUCACACCUAGGUAGUGUGAUAAGUGCUUAGUCAGCACGGCAUGAUUGGGUCUAAAGUUCUUUUGAACUUUUACGCGACUUGUGGUGAAAGUGUACAAUGUCUGCAGAGUGUAAAACUGUUAUAACAACCGUGCUCACGGUCAAGAGCGGCAUGGACUCUCACAUGAUUAAUUUAUCAAAAGUUGAUUUAAAUUGAUGUUAUUUAUUGCUGUUAUGUUUAUUUAUGUUCAUGCUUAAUAUGGGUGAUAUAAACUUCUACUUAGUAAAUGCUAAUAAAACUUGACCAACCAAUUAAAAUGUUAAAAUGUUGUUAAACCUUAGCCUAUCCAUGAAUAGCCUUACACUAUACAUUCCCC